UGGGGAAUUUUGGACAAUGGGGGCAACCCUGAUCCAGCCAUUCCGCGUGAGUGAAGAAGGCCUUCGGGUUGUAAAGCUCUUUCAGCAGGAACGAAACGGUCGGCUUUAAUAAAGUCGGCUAAUGACGGUACCUGCAGAAGAAGCACCGGCUAACUACGUGCCAGCAGCCGCGGUAAUACGUAGGGUGCAGGCGUUAAUCGGAAUUACUGGGCGUAAAGCGUGCGCAGGCGGUUUGUUAAGACAGGUGUGAAAUCCCCGGGCUUAACCUGGGAAUUGCGCUUGUAACUGGCAGGCUAGAGUGUGGCAGAGGGGGGUGGAAUUCCACGUGUAGCAGUGAAAUGCGUAGAUAUGUGGAGGAACACCGAUGGCGAAGGCAGCCCCCUGGGUUAACACUGACGCUCAUGCACGAAAGCGUGGGGAGCAAACAGGAUUAGAUACCCAAGUAGUCCCUGAGCGGGCUGGCAAGGCGCAU
RNAcentral lists this ribosomal RNA (472 nucleotides) under uncultured bacterium. Its description in RNAcentral is "bacterial SSU rRNA". It matches the Rfam family "Bacterial small subunit ribosomal RNA", at positions 355 to 825 of the family's 1533-position model. The record is from RNAcentral.